RNAcentral lists this long non-coding RNA (4252 nucleotides) under Zea mays. Its description in RNAcentral is "long non-coding RNA (ZMAY_LNC005301)". The record is from RNAcentral. Lineage: Eukaryota; Viridiplantae; Streptophyta; Magnoliopsida; Poales; Poaceae.
GUGUCUGCCCCAUUCAACGAACGCUGCGCAUGGUGGAGGCCAGAGGCGCGCCAUUGUCAUGCGUUUCGUUACCGCAGGUGACCCUAGCUUCCCUCGUCUAUUUAGAAAGCUGCGACCGAAGCCUAAGCUAUUCACCUCUCCGUGCUCCUCGCGUCCGCCACCCUAGAAAGAUCACGGGAGCCCUCGGUGUGGUGUCCGCGCAGAAGUUAGGGGGGCACCACGGAUUGUGGUGUAGCGUCUUCACAUCGGCGAGGACGCAUACCCUAGGAGCAUCGCAAGAUCACACCAAGCGUACCCGUGGAGGUGGUGGGCUCUGACGGUAGGGGUAGAAGAGUGGAUUGCUCGCCGGAGUUCAACGAGAGCCUCCGUCCGCCCCACGCCCGGUUCUGCGCGCACGUCAUCACGAUUUUCGGUACGAACCCCUUUCAUAGUUUAGAAUUGAUCCUCGCUUUGUUUAGAUGGGUCCUGCGUAGAGAAUCAAGAACCGUAUCAAUGUCAGGGCUGUCGCCGGUGAUGUUCCGCCAUAUGGGGACGGUGGCGCCGCCAUUCAAAACGAAACGGGUGAGGAAAAAUGGCGUAUGCCGUUGAUGAGCAAGCGAAUGGCUGGGAUUAUCCGGCGCGUACCCGUUCGGCGGUGUCAAUCCGGACCGUCCAUCUCUGAUCGAGCGCAUGUGAUUCACCGUGGGCAACGUAAGAUCCGGACGGUUGAACUAAGAUCCUAGGGCCAAAUAUGCGUACCAGUUCACUUAAUGCGACAUCUAAUCAUGGCCCUCAGAAUGAGAUCCAAUGGCUAGAAUCCAUCCAUACUCUCGGUCGCGACAGAUUUACAUCUGAGGCCCUCAGGAUUCGCUAAAUAGAACCCGCAAUCCACCCAGGUGUUGUCUGAGUCUUGGAAAACUUUGCAAGUUAACCCUUGUGCUAUUUGGUAUUUAAUGUGCAGUCCAACAGCCAGGGAAUUAAGAAAAAACAAUAUUAGAAGUUGAUUUUAAUACAAAAAUGAAUCCAGAAAAUUGUAUAAUUCAUAUUUAAUUCAUUUGAAGUCCAAAUUAAUCCAUUCUAGUUUCUAUAAUUUUGUAAUAUUAUUGUUUAUCAGAUAGUGUCUCUGUUUUGACAUGAAAAUCAUAUUAAAUGUAUCUCUUAAUUAAUCUUGUAUAAAAACAUAAAACCUUAAGAAAAUCAUAACCCCUUCGUUUUAAUUCUGAAUUGACUCGUUCCAGUUGCGUUAUCUUUGUAAUAAAAUUUCCUACUCAGAAACAACACUAUUUGUGUCAUAUCCAAUACUUUUAUAAUUAGAUCUUUAUUUAACUUAUGUUGGUUAGUCUUGUUAAUCUGGUUAACAUUAUAAUCUACUAAAAUAUGAUCUAUGGUCAAUUUAUAAUUUAGAUUAAAGUUGAAUUAAUUACUACUGUAGGUUAUCUUUUCUCUGGAAUUAUAAAAUAAACAUAGAACCUAGUUUUAAUCAUUUAAUCCCAUCAUAACUUGAUGACCGUAACUCCGAAUUUAGUGAUUCUCAUCCCAACGAUCUCCUAGCAAUGCGUAUAUUAUUAUUAUGCAGUAUGUUCUUAUGUCUUGUGAGAUGUUAAUUUUGUCUAUACCAUGUUUGUUUGUAUUGCUACGACUAGCAGUGAGGACACGAGGAUCUAAGGAUCAUCCUGGUACCUGGAAUCUCAAGUCCCAGGCAAGUUGUGCCCUUGAUCACUUUUGCUUACCCAAUAAUGUUCUUUAUAAUCAUUUAUUCAUGCAUAGGUUUAAUUUUGAUGGGACCCAAUAGAUCACCCUAGUCUGAUUAUCUAUUUUACCUUGUUUAUCCCUGAAUCAUUUGGGUAGUUAUGCUAUUGCUUUACAUGGUUUUAGGUUAAUAUUUCAUUAUAUCCAUGUUCCAAUUAUUUUGUUAUUUUAUUUAUGUUCAUGUCAAGAUCAUUAUCUUUAAUUGGAACAUGGAGCUUAACUUGAGAAACACGUGCCACCACAAGGGUGGAAUGGGACGCCCUUGGCUGACUAAUUAGGAAAGCUAGUGGAAGACUACCUUACCCAAAAGGGGCACGGGCAGUAGGGGAGUUGCAUGCAGGGAGGUUCUCGGGUUAAUUUUGCUGCGAUGGCGGUCAGACGAGGGAUUCUUGCAAGUGCUCUUCCCAUAAACUGUAGCGGGUUUUUGGAAGCUAGUGGAACUUUGUAAAGGCCUCGUAGUGGAUCCCUAGCCAUUCACCUUGGUAGUGUCUAAGGGUCUAGCUAACCCUGGCGAUAUGGGAUACACGACUUGUGGGUAUAGGGUACAACCUCUAUAGAGUGUAAAACUGGUAUACUAGCUGAGCUCACGGUCAAGAACAGCUCAGGACUCUCGCAUGAUUAAAUUAUGGAACUAAAUUCAUUUUGUCGUUUGCAUUGCAUGGGAUUUGUUAUUAAUUUUGUUCUAUUAUUAUUAUGGUUUGGUAUUUACUUACAUCUAGUAAUUGCUAAUAAAAUUUUGACCAACUUUAAAAGCAAUGCUCAGCUUUAACCACUCUCUUGGGUAAGCCUUACACUUCACUUGAGCUCCCACCUUUGGCGAGUUCAUGCACAUUAUUCCCCACAACUUGUUGAGCAAUGAACGUGUGUGAGCUCACCCUUGCUGUCUCACCCCCCCCCACAGGAGAAGUACAUGUGCUUCAAGAGGAGCCACACAACGAGGAGUUCGACUUGAUCUAGGUGGCGUCUCCCAGUUGACUUUAUGGCACCAAGGAUGGACUUUAGUUUGUUUUAUAUUUAUCUUUUAUUUUGUAAGACUUCCUCUAUGUAACAAGUAUUCUGAUUAUAUUGUGACAUUCAUCCCUAAACACUCUGUUCUUAUAUGUGUUGUCUUCUUUGGCGCAUAUAUGAGAUGCACCUGGCUUUGUCCCUUAAAUCCGGGUGUGACAGCGGCGAGAUUUCUCAUCGACGUUCACCACUGCCGCAGAUCCGCCUCGCGGCGUGGUCAGCACUGCUGUCGCCUCCAACCGUCGGUAUGACCCUUUCAUUGAGUUCGCAUUAGCCCUUGUGUCGUUUUGCGCUUGUUCGUCAUCCGCGCGGUGGGCACUUGUCUCAUCGGCGAAGCUUCGCCGUGGCGGCCGCCGUGGUGACACACCUCUUCGCCUGUGAUCAUCGGGGGUGGGGGAAAGGGGACAAGAGGUGGGGUUACAUUGGGUCGUCAAUCGUGGAUCGGAUGACUAGGGGUCUGUUUGGUUGGGCUGUGGCUGUGGAAAAAGUUGCUGUGAGCUGUGAGCUGUGGAAAAAGCUGCUGUAGGCUGUGUGCUGUUAAAAAGCUAAAAAUCGUUUGGUGGAAACCACUAAAAGUCGUUAAAAUUUCUUCGAUAUAUGUUUUCACAGUUCCAUCCAAAAGCCACUAAAAGCAGGUCCAGGGGUGCUUUCAGUUUUGCACUACGAGAAAGUCGGCUUUUAGAAAAAGCUGCUUCCUGGAUCCAGCCCUUUGGUUGGCUUUUGGCUUUUAGGGGGCAAAAGCCAAAGCCAAAAGCCAAACCAAACACACCCUAGAAGCGGGUUAUGGUGUACCGCUUAGGGACAAUUGAUCAGAGCCCUUAGAUCGAUAUCUGGUGGUUCCGAAUAGGCUUAGAUUCAUUAAAUCCUCUCUGUUGAUCCCAGAUCUGACGGGCAGCGAAGCAUACCGGUUCGGUAAAAGGCUGAGAUCUAUCUGGGCCACGAGAUCCAAUUCCAAUGGCUGAGAGGGAUCAAUACCCCUUCAGCCUAGUUUUUUGCAAUGGAGACCCUAUGGUUUCUCAGAAUCAACCCGCUGUCUACCUAGACUCAAGAAUCAUUGCAGAGAGGUCCAUCGAUUUAUAGAACCGCCCCUGAAAUUCUAAAGAAUAGUUGUUGUGAUCCAGGAAUUUUUGUUUAAUGAUAAAAUUAAUUAUAAAAUGAUUUUUAAUAUAGAAAUAAUUUCAAAAUGUUGUUUAAUUCCUAGUUAAUUCAUUUUAACUCCUUUUUGAUCCAUUCCAGUUGCGUUAAAUUCAUAUUAAUAUUUUUUAUCAUCUAGCAACAUUAUUUUGUCAUGAAACAUAGGUUUAAAAAGUAUGCACUCAAUUUAUUCCAUAUACAACACUUAAACUUCGGAAAAUCAUAACUCUUUAACCGUAACUCCGAAUUUAGUGGUUCUUGAACCCACAAUUUCGUUACAAUGUGUAGAUAAUUAUUAUUUGAUAUGUUCUCAUGAUUGGUGUGAUGUUAAUUUUUUUGCCUAUACCAUGUUUGUUUGUAAUGCUACGAGUAGCAGCGAGGUUAC